Molecule: unclassified non-coding RNA, 166 nt
Filed under: uncultured Penicillium
Lineage: Eukaryota; Fungi; Ascomycota; Eurotiomycetes; Eurotiales; Aspergillaceae
Description: sequence contains ITS2
Source: RNAcentral
CUGCCCUCAAGCACGGCUUGUGUGUUGGGUGUGGUCCCCUCCCUGGCGGGGGGACCUGCCCGAAAGGCAGCGGCGACGUCGCGUCCGGUCCUCGAGCGUAUGGGGCUUUGUCACUCGCUCGGGAAGGACCUGCGCACGUCUGUCACAACUGUAUUUUUUACCACGG